Molecule: ribosomal RNA, 384 nt
Filed under: uncultured bacterium
Lineage: Bacteria
Description: bacterial SSU rRNA
Rfam family: Bacterial small subunit ribosomal RNA
Source: RNAcentral
GACGAACGCUGGCGGCGUGCUUAACACAUGCAAGUCGAGCGGUAAGGCCCUUUCGGGGGUACACGAGCGGCGAACGGGUGAGUAACACGUGGGUGACCUGCCCUCAGCUCUGGGAUAAGCCUGGGAAACCGGGUCUAAUACCGGAUAUGACUCCAUGACGCAUGUUGUGGGGUGGAAAAGCCUUGUGCGGCUGAGGAUGGGCCCGCGGCCUAUCAGCUUGUUGGUGGGGUGAUGGCCUACCAAGGCGACGACGGGUAGCCGGCCUGAGAGGGCGACCGGCCACACUGGGACUGAGACACGGCCCAGACUCCUACGGGAGGCAGCAGUGGGGAAUCUUGCGCAAUGGGCGAAAGCCUGACGCAGCGACGCCGCGUGAGGGAUGAC